Molecule: ribosomal RNA, 1046 nt
Filed under: Ichthyobacterium seriolicida
Lineage: Bacteria; Pseudomonadati; Bacteroidota; Flavobacteriia; Flavobacteriales; Ichthyobacteriaceae
Description: bacterial SSU rRNA
Rfam family: Bacterial small subunit ribosomal RNA
Source: RNAcentral
CAGACUCCUACGGGAGGCAGCAGUGGGGAAUAUUGGGCAAUGGGCGCACGGAACCCAGCCAUGUCGCGUGCAGGAUGACGGCCUUAUGGGUUGUAAACUGCUUUUAUAUGGGAAGAAAAGCACUUAUGUAUAGGUGUAUGCCGGUACCAUAUGAAUAAGCCCCGGCUAACUCCGUGCCAGCAGCCGCGGUAAUACGGAGGGUGCAAGCGUUAUUCGGAUUUAUUGGGUUUAAAGGGUCCGCAGCGGUUUGGUAAGUCAGUGGUGAAAUCCUACAGCUCAACUGUAGAACUGCCAUUGAUACUGCUAGACUAGAGUAAAGGUGAAGUUGGCGGAAUGUGUAGUGUAGCGGUGAAAUGCAUAGAUAUUACACAGAACACCGAUUGCGAAGGCAGCUGACUAACCUUUUACUGACGCUCAGGGACGAAAGUUUGGGUAGCGAACGGGAUUAGAUACCCCGGUAGUCCAGACCGUAAACGAUGAUUACUAUAUGUUUGGCGUUUUAUACCUGAGUGUACAAGCGAAAGGUUAAGUAAUCCACCUGGGGAGUACGUUCGCAAGAAUGAAACUCAAAGGAAUUGACGGGGGUCCGCACAAGCUGGGGAGCAUGUGGUUUAAUUCGAUGAUACCCGAGGAACCUUACCUAGGCCUAAAUGUAUUCUGACAGGUUUAGAGAUAGACUUUUCUUCGGAACAGGAUACAAGGUGCUGCAUGGUUGUCGUCAGCUCGUGCUGUGAGGUGUCAGGUUAAGUCCUAUAACGAGCGCAACCCUAUCCAUAGUUGCCAACAGUUCGGCUGGGGACUCUAUGGAGACAGCCCGUGCAAACGGAGAGGAAGGUGGGGAUGACGUCAAAUCAUCACGGCCCUUACGUCUAGGGCUACACACGUGCUACAAUGGUCGGUACAGAGGGUCGCUACCUUGCGAGAGGAUGCAAAUCUCUAAAUCCGAUCUCAGUUCGGAUCGCAGUCUGCAACUCGACUGCGUGAAGUUGGAAUCGCUAGUAAUCGCAAAUCAGCCAUGUUGCGGUGAAUACGUUCCCGGGCCUUGU